This is a long non-coding RNA of Octopus sinensis (East Asian common octopus), 319 nucleotides long. RefSeq lists it as uncharacterized. The record is from RefSeq and is a predicted model, not a curated record. The transcript is spliced from 3 exons. NCBI's taxonomy places the organism in Eukaryota, Metazoa, Mollusca, Cephalopoda, Octopoda, Octopodidae.
CUGCUGUCUCGGAAGCAAGCCGUUCUUAUUCUCGAUAUUAACCAAUCGCAGUCAAGCAGAAAAAAAUAGGUCGGAGUUCAACACCAACAACAACACCUAAAGACAACAAUAAUAUAAGCAGCGGCAGCAGCAGCAUCAACAGCAGCGGCAGCAGUUGCAAGAACAACAAUUACAAAGCCUGUUCUAUGAAGGUCAUCCUGACCCCGAAAGACGAGGAAUGCUGUGUUAAAUGUCAAUGAGAUGAAGCACCAGAGGAUGGAGUUAAUCUAGUUGCUGUUGAUUUGCUGAUGUUGAGAUACAUGGAAUAAAGAAGAAGAAG